RNAcentral lists this ribosomal RNA (790 nucleotides) under Caulobacter rhizosphaerae. RNAcentral's name for it is "bacterial SSU rRNA". It matches the Rfam family "Bacterial small subunit ribosomal RNA", at positions 125 to 950 of the family's 1533-position model. The record is from RNAcentral. Lineage: Bacteria; Pseudomonadati; Pseudomonadota; Alphaproteobacteria; Caulobacterales; Caulobacteraceae.
CGUGCCCUUUGGUUCGGAACAACUCAGGGAAACUUGAGCUAAUACCGGAUAAGCCCUUCGGGGGAAAGAUUUAUCGCCAUUGGAGCGGCCCGCGUAGGAUUAGCUAGUUGGUGGGGUAAAGGCCCACCAAGGCUACGAUCCUUAGCUGGUCUGAGAGGAUGAUCAGCCACAUUGGGACUGAGACACGGCCCAAACUCCUACGGGAGGCAGCAGUGGGGAAUCUUGCGCAAUGGGCGAAAGCCUGACGCAGCCAUGCCGCGUGAAUGAUGAAGGUCUUAGGAUUGUAAAAUUCUUUCACCGGGGACGAUAAUGACGGUACCCGGAGAAGAAGCCCCGGCUAACUUCGUGCCAGCAGCCGCGGUAAUACGAAGGGGGCUAGCGUUGCUCGGAAUUACUGGGCGUAAAGGGAGCGUAGGCGGAUAGUUUAGUCAGAGGUGAAAGCCCAGGGCUCAACCUUGGAAUUGCCUUUGAUACUGGCUAUCUUGAGUACGGAAGAGGUAUGUGGAACUCCGAGUGUAGAGGUGAAAUUCGUAGAUAUUCGGAAGAACACCAGUGGCGAAGGCGACAUACUGGUCCGUUACUGACGCUGAGGCUCGAAAGCGUGGGGAGCAAACAGGAUUAGAUACCCUGGUAGUCCACGCUGUAAACGAUGAGUGCUAGUUGUCGGCAGGCAUGCCUGUCGGUGACGCAGCUAACGCAUUAAGCACUCCGCCUGGGGAGUACGGUCGCAAGAUUAAAACUCAAAGGAAUUGACGGGGGCCCGCACAAGCGGUGGAGCAUGUGGUUUAAU